RNAcentral lists this transfer RNA (69 nucleotides) under Cyrtodactylus baluensis. Its description in RNAcentral is "tRNA-Trp". Lineage: Eukaryota; Metazoa; Chordata; Lepidosauria; Squamata; Gekkonidae. The record is from RNAcentral.
AAGUUUAGGUUAAACAAACCAGGGACCUUCAAAGCCCCAAAUAAGAGCCAGUCAUCCCUCCUAACUUCU